GGUUCGGUGGCCGAUGGCGGCUGGCCGGCCUCGAACGCGGGCAACUGCCCGGCCCAGGCCGGCGCGGGUUCGGCCACCACCGGGGCCU
This 88-nucleotide transfer RNA is filed under the name Hydrogenophaga electricum. RNAcentral's name for it is "tRNA-Ser". The record is from RNAcentral. Lineage: Bacteria; Pseudomonadati; Pseudomonadota; Betaproteobacteria; Burkholderiales; Comamonadaceae.